AUGGCUCAGAGGAUAAGAGCACUGGC
RNAcentral lists this non-coding RNA (26 nucleotides) under Cricetulus griseus (Chinese hamster). The record is from RNAcentral. Lineage: Eukaryota; Metazoa; Chordata; Mammalia; Rodentia; Cricetidae.